Molecule: long non-coding RNA, 739 nt
Organism: Perca fluviatilis (European perch)
Lineage: Eukaryota; Metazoa; Chordata; Actinopteri; Perciformes; Percidae
Exons: 2
Source: RefSeq, a predicted model, not a curated record
AGGUGCUGCAUAACCAACCUGGCUUUUACUGCCUUUGCACCACACACUCCUUCUGCAGUCGCAGGUGGCCUUCCGAAUGCUGAAGGGGCACACAAGCACGGUGUAGGUGUGGAGACAAAAAAGCCAAGAGUCUCAAUUUUGUGUGUGCAUCUUAUCUUCAUCCUUAACUAAUUUUCUUUGAGCACCAACGACACAAUAAAAUGGCUGCAGCAGAGGGGGGCCAAGACCCGGAGGCUCCGGUGGAAGAGAUGAACGACGAACAUGAAGCCUUGCUGCACUUUGGUAAAUACUAUGAAGCCCGGCGUGAGCUACCUUGGGAGCAGUGGACAUUCAGAGAAAAGGCAAACUUUUAUGUGGACCGCAUCUUCCUUGGGCUCUUGGUCAUGUUUCUCCUCAUGGUACUGGGAGAAUCUGGCUAUAAAGUAUGGUAUGUGACAAACAUAAAGAAGAUUGCAGAGUUUGUGUCAGAUUCGGUGGCCUUUCUGUUUGACUGGCUCUUCACCCAGGAGAGACAGGAGGAGUUAUUUGAAUUGUAGCUUUGAUAAUACAGGGUGACCACUUGAUUCUAUUAUCACUUUGUUUGUGUUUUCUACAAUGUUUUAGGCACACGUGGUAUUACAAAUUCCCAGUAAAGAAUCCAUUCAUAGCUCCAUCUUAACUAGAGAUACAGCAAUGUAUUAUGGAGUUGCGAACUAUAUUUUUGGUGAAUGGAAAUAAAUAAUGUUUGCAAUUUAUCGAA